ACUCUGAAGUUCCGCGAUCUUCUCUUUGUGCGCGGGCGGAUGGAUCAACGCCGCCAAGUGGGUAAGGUCUGAGGAUUGCGUCAUUAGGCGAUUUUGUUGCUGUACGAACACCACAGAAUGUACUUUGACGACCUAGAUGGUGGAGCCUGGACACACCUCGGCUGUGUGGUGUGGCCUGCUGCUUCCAGGCUGCAAACCUGACAGCAUGGGGCUGUGCUGAAUACCGCAGACCAUUGUAAUUCAUGGGGAAAGCGUGAACGCAGUCCCCCACUACAACUAAUUAUGCAGUCGAGUUUUCCACAUUUGGGAAUAUCUCAGGGGUCAGCACAUCCGGAGUGCAAUCGAUGAGCCUCACGCUGGGAAAAACCACCUUCGUGAUCAUGGUAUCUUCCCUGCCAGCAACCUAAUCACAGAGCCUCCCAGCCCGAUGCUACAAAGAGCCGCAUGCUGCCAGUUUCCUUGUGGGCAGGGACCUAUGUAUUAUAAUGGUGAAUAUAUUUAUACUUGAAUCCACAGAGAAGACACAGUAGACUAGUCAUACCAUUGUGAGUAGUGCUCAGAUUCUUUCUUGACCCCCCAUCAUCCAAAAAUAUACCUUUCCAGUGUGGCAGUCUUGAACUUUUCCAAAUUCAGCUGCUGUUGGAGCUCUUCUGUUUUUCCCAGGGAAGGCCGGAGAACUGUAUUUCUGGCCAGAGCUGCUGCAGAAGGUCUCUGUUCGGCAUCAGGUUGGAUCAUGUUCUGAUGAUAUAGGACCAAGAGGAAAGAAACAGAAGCUUCGCUAUUGGGAAAAAUCUUCCCAUUCAAGCCAACUCCAACCCAGCUUCUCCUGGUGGAUUUUAGAGAAACCAAUCAGCUUCAUUUUCAACUUCUUCUAUGACUCCAGAGGAUUCACUUUGCAUCUUGUGACAAAUGAAUAUAUUACCUGAAAAAAAAAUGACAGGAUAGAUAUUGAAGAAAUAAUUUUUUAUAGGACUCUGGAGUGAAGGGAUUAAUAUUGACCAGAGCCAAUGAGGUCAUCUCAUCCUUGAGGGGAGCAGGUGUGAGCUUCAAAUGCUUAGGGCCUCUGGAAGGAAGCUUCCCUGUUGGAGAAAUCACCAACCGGCUCAGCAUGGUCUGAAUGAGGAUGACAAAAGGAGUUGCUGCACAGGGGGAAAGCGAAGUUCCCAGGAGUAAGAUGUGCAAGAAGGGGGCAGCCUUGCAUCUCAGGGCUGAGUUCCCUCAACUGUGUGCUUGAGGGAAGUUCUCCCCUUGCAGACACACUGCUGAGUGAUAAGGAAGCGCCUAGACUCCACUCUGACCAGACUUGGUUCUGAGGCCUAUGAAAUGUUGAUGGGAAGAACAGAAGCAGGAAAAUCUAUCUAUUCAAAUUUGCAAGACGUGGAAACUUUUAUUCACCUUCCUGGUUAGACUGUUCCUUUGUCAAAGUAAAGCUAAGGCCAUGGAAAAUGAGCUAUUUGAGAGUCUGUCGCUCCAAGGAAGAACAUGCUGGCCUAAUUGUCCCCCAAGUCAGGAGAGAGAAUUGUAAAAAACACUUAAACAGGCCUAAGUAAAGGUCCAGCACAUUAUUUAUUUAAGACUGAAUUAGGACUGAGUCAUUCUGACUCUGAAAAAAGAGUGUUGUUGGAUUCUUAUGUAUUUAGUGGGUCUGCCCUAUUGAAAACCAUUGUGAAGUAUGGUUUCCCAAGCAAGAAAUGACACUUUCACUGUCAGUCUUUCUAGGAGUCUGGCAGAAUCCAGGACCGGGAUUACCCUUAUUUAUGAAGCGACCUUAGACUAACAGUGGCUCUCUGGGUCUCCAGACAAUUGGCCAGGGACUCUAAAAACCAGAAACAAAGUUGAGAGAACUCCAUGCUGGUGGAGAAAAACAGCUGGCCUUUAUCACCAGAAUGUGCCCCAUAGAAGCAGCAAAGCAGCAAGCGACGUUCUUAAACAAGGGCCUGUGGGCCUCGUCAAGAUCUGGAGGAAUCAUCUACGACUCACUGCUGAGUGAGAGGGCUAGGCAGUGUCUUUAAGGUCCUGCCAGCUUUAACAUUGUAUGCUUUUUCUUUUGUUCAAUCUCUCACCACAACUGGAAGUGUUGCCUCAACUACACAGGAGAAAGUUUGCAGUAACUUAGAGAAAACAUUAUUUUAAUCACCAGUGUAUGUUCUCCUGCUCCCUGGACAAAUCCAUCAGCAGCGGCAACACUGACCAGGUCCAGAUUGGGGCCGCUGCGGUGGAUGUGAAUCCAUUGAAACUAGGGGUCUCCAGUGCUCCUGA
Molecule: non-coding RNA, 2259 nt
Filed under: Pan troglodytes (chimpanzee)
Lineage: Eukaryota; Metazoa; Chordata; Mammalia; Primates; Hominidae
Source: RNAcentral